GGGUGUAUAGCUCAGUGGUAGAGAGAACACCCAGCACUCAUGGGUCCUGGGUUCAAUCCCCAGUACCUCCA
This 71-nucleotide transfer RNA is filed under the name Camelus bactrianus (Bactrian camel). It matches the Rfam family "tRNA". From Rfam's summary of the family: Transfer RNA (tRNA) molecules are approximately 80 nucleotides in length. Their secondary structure includes four short double-helical elements and three loops (D, anti-codon, and T loops). Further hydrogen bonds mediate the characteristic L-shaped molecular structure. tRNAs have two regions of fundamental functional importance: the anti-codon, which is responsible for specific mRNA codon recognition, and the 3' end, to which the tRNAs corresponding amino acid is attached (by aminoacyl-tRNA synthetases). tRNAs cope with the degeneracy of the genetic code in two manners: having more than one tRNA (with a specific anti-codon) for a particular amino acid; and 'wobble' base-pairing, i.e. permitting non-standard base-pairing at the 3rd anti-codon position. The record is from Rfam by way of RNAcentral. RNAcentral also lists the same sequence under 2 other names. Lineage: Eukaryota; Metazoa; Chordata; Mammalia; Artiodactyla; Camelidae.